RNAcentral lists this ribosomal RNA (250 nucleotides) under uncultured bacterium. RNAcentral describes it as "partial 16S ribosomal RNA". It matches the Rfam family "Bacterial small subunit ribosomal RNA", at positions 524 to 773 of the family's 1533-position model. The record is from RNAcentral.
AACGUAGGAGACGAACGUUAUCCGGAGUUACUGGGCGUAAAGGGCGUGCAGGCGGUUGGAUAAGUUCGGCGUGAAAUUUUCCGGCUUAACCGGGGGAUGUCGUCGGAGACUGUCUGACUAGAGGGUGAUAGAGGCGUGUGGAAUUCCGGGUGUAGUGGUGAAAUGCGUAGAGAUCCGGAGGAACACCAGUGGCGAAGGCGACACGCUGGGUCACACCUGACGCUAAGACGCGACAGCAUGGGGAGCAAAC